RNAcentral lists this antisense RNA (75 nucleotides) under Kitasatospora viridis. RNAcentral's name for it is "ASpks TB sRNA". It matches the Rfam family "ASpks TB sRNA". Lineage: Bacteria; Bacillati; Actinomycetota; Actinomycetes; Kitasatosporales; Streptomycetaceae. The record is from Rfam by way of RNAcentral.
CUUCACCGACCCGAGCAGCAGGGGCCGACCCUCCGGCCGGUCCUGGCCAUAGGUGGCGAGAAGCGCCUGGGCCUC